This is a long non-coding RNA of Oreochromis aureus, 1947 nucleotides long. RefSeq lists it as uncharacterized. The record is from RefSeq and is a predicted model, not a curated record. The transcript has 4 exons. Lineage: Eukaryota; Metazoa; Chordata; Actinopteri; Cichliformes; Cichlidae.
AGUGCACGUUUUUUAGGGAGUGAUGUGUGUACCAUUGUGACCAUUCGUCUCGUGAUAAGGCAGUCUGGAGAAGGAUGCCCAUGCCAGGAGGGAGGUCAAGGCACCAACUCAUUCCUCUUCCUAGACACUUCCAUUUAUCAGGCCUGACUGCAUGCAUCACACACCCUCAAGCCGCAAUAUCAGCUGGGUCCGUUUCAUAAAUACACCAGCAUUCCCCGCCGUGACAGCUGGAGCCUCUCCCAGCUGCUACAGGGCAAAAGUCCCUCAGUUAUUGGGAGGACAAACAUACUGAGGGCAGAAUUACCAUGGAGCACGCACGCCUAGCCAAAGGCCCAACAGAGCCAAUGGUUUAUUUCCAUUCUGUGGCCAGGGAAUUGUCUCCAGAAUGCUUGCAGUGAGAAAACUCAUUCCGAUGAUCUGGGUCAGAUAGAGGCACUUCCAUCGGCCACAGACAAUUCAGGCUUGGAAUGACGACAGAACUUUAAAGAGAGAGAGAGGGAGGGAGAGACUGCCUCAAGACAAGAUGUACCACAGAUGAUAAAACAAGGGGAGUUGAUAUCUACUCAGUGGUCUGCCAGACAGAUAAAUACUUUGCUCUGUGUGUGUGUGUGUGUGUGUGUGUGUGUGUGUCCCUUGAAUGAAUAUGCACAAUCCAAGCUGUUUACAUUCACCUCCAUCAAACAGGUAAAGCUGUGUGGUUAUAUAUACACAUUUCUCCUUUUGUCAUGUGGUGCUAUAAAUUGCUCUGGGCUUCUCAUAAAUCCAUGCAAGACCACUUGAAGGGGAAAUGUUUUCUGUUUUCUCUGGUAUCACUUUGACUUUUGAGGAAAUUGGUUUGCAAAGAAGACAUGUAUCAAAAAAGAUCUAUCUAUCUAUUUCAUGUCUGAGGAAUAUAUAUUUUCUCUUUUGUGUGUAAGUAGGCUCCAAUAUUCAACUUUAAUGCCAUACUCAUGUAUUUAAGCAUGCAACAUGCAUAGCAAGCAAAUAUGCCAGUCAGACUCAGAGUCAAUUUUAAAUUUACAGCCAUUUUAAAACAAAACUUAGCAUAAAAAGUUUGGAAUGCUGCUACGAUGCAGUGAAAGACUAUUGAUAAAAGAGAAACAUCAUUGCUCUGAAUUUUGAUGUAGCCAUCUGCCAAACAGUUUACUUAUCCUGUGUUUGUUGAGAAAUAGAGGAGGUGUGGGCAAAUAUUUACAGCAGCUGUUCUUUCUCUGAUACAGACAAAGCAAGUAAACACAGGUGUAAUCUUGGAUACAAAUUAGAAGACUUAAGUUUGUGAUCCAUGUCCACAAAAUAUGUCUCUCCCUUAUUACUGCUGGUCAACCCUUUGGCAAGAAAGAGUGUGGCUCCCAAAUAACACGUGAAAAUAGAUGUUAACACCAAAAAAAAAAUCAGCAAAACACACUCAAGUAACAAUGCAUGCAAUGAUGACUGACUGUAAUCAUUCUAUAUUAGUUUAUGGUAGUUGUGUGUGUGUGUAUAUAUAGUGAUAUAGGUUCUAUAUUAAAGGAGACAUUUUUGUGAGGAAAAGUAAUAUCUGGAAGUUUAAUUAAUAGGGGGAACUCCGAUAUGGUGAUGUUUUUUAAAUGUUGGGGAAAACAAAUGUAAAUAUAAGAAUAUUAAAGAAACAUUUUACAACAAAAUAAGGUAUUACGGGGAUAUGUUUUGCAGAAAUAUCUGCACAUUCUUCUAGCAACUCCUUCUAGAAAUCAUUAUCGACUUAUUCUUUGCCAUGAACAGUUCCACGUAGGAAACUAUUUCCUGAAUUUGAUUUUCGAGUAAACUCUCCCUUCAAGGUCUUUGUCCAAAGAAUGAAAAAAAGAUGAAAGAAAUGUUAGCUCAAGACAUAUGAGGAGUUUCACAUUCUUUCACAUAUUUGCCAUUCUUGCCUUGUCAUUUCUACUGGGAAUCAGUCAUCAUGACUUCAGCUUGUUAAUAAAUGUCUAA